This 486-nucleotide ribosomal RNA is filed under the name uncultured bacterium. RNAcentral describes it as "partial 16S ribosomal RNA". It matches the Rfam family "Bacterial small subunit ribosomal RNA", at positions 29 to 507 of the family's 1533-position model. The record is from RNAcentral.
AUUGAACGCUGGCGGCAUGCCUUACACAUGCAAGUCGAACGGCAGCACGGGUGCUUGCACCUGGUGGCGAGUGGCGAACGGGUGAGUAAUACAUCGGGACAUGUCCUGUAGUGGGGGAUAGCCCGGCGAAAGCCGGAUUAAUACCGCAGACGAACUACGGAUGAAAGCGGGGGACCUUCUGGCCUCGCGCUAUAGGGUUGGCCGAUGGCUGAUUAGCUACUUGGUGGGGUAAAGGCCUACCAAGGCGACGAUGAGUAGCUGGUAUGAGAGGGAGACCAGCCACACGGGAACUGAGACACGGCCCAGAUUCCUACGGGAGGCAGCAGUGGGGAAUUUUGGACAAUGGGCGAAAGCCUGACCCAGCAAUGCCGCGUGUGUGAAGAAGGCCUUCGGAUUGUAAAGCACUUUUGUCCGGAAAGAAAUCCUUGGCCCUAAUAUGGUCGGGGGAUGACGGUACCGGAAGAAAAAGCACCGGCUAACUACGUG